UACGGAGGGGGUUAGCGGUGUUCGGAAUGACUGGGCGUAAAGCGCGCGUAGGCGGAUCAUCAAGUCGGGGGUGAAAUCCCGGGGCUCAACCCCGGAAUGGCCUUCGAGACUGGUGGUCUUGAGUUCGAGAGAGGUGAGUGGAAUUCCGAGUGUAGAGGUGAAAUUCGUAGAUAUUCGGAGGAACACCAGUGGCGAAGGCGGCUCACUGGCUCGACACUGACGCUGAGGUGCGAAAGCGUGGGGAGCGAACAGG
Molecule: ribosomal RNA, 253 nt
Filed under: uncultured bacterium
Lineage: Bacteria
Description: partial 16S ribosomal RNA
Rfam family: Bacterial small subunit ribosomal RNA
Source: RNAcentral